CCCUAAAUCUCUCCUCUUUCCCACUCUCCACUCUCUUUUUCCACUUCUACAUCCCACCCUCACACGCCGUCGUCCUCUAAUCCCCUGACGUCGCCGGACAGCACCCUCGCGGUGGCCUUCCUCUUCGUGCUUCCCUCUUCUCGGCGCGGCCCUUUCUCUCCUUCUCUUCCUCAUCGCGAUUCCCUCUCCUCGGCGCCGCCUUUCCUCCACGCACAGAAGCCGCCCUUCCUCCACGCACAGAAGCCGCC
This 248-nucleotide long non-coding RNA is filed under the name Arachis ipaensis. RNAcentral describes it as "long non-coding RNA (AIPA_LNC002317)". Lineage: Eukaryota; Viridiplantae; Streptophyta; Magnoliopsida; Fabales; Fabaceae. The record is from RNAcentral.